AUUGAACGCUGGCGGCAGGCCUAACACAUGCAAGUCGAACGGUAACAGGAAGAAGCCUGCUUCUUUGCUGACGAGUGGCGGACGGGUGAGUAAUGUCUGGGAAACUGCCUGAUGGAGGGGGGAUAACUACUGGAAACGGUAGCUAAUACCGCAUAACGUCGCAAGACCAAAGAGGGGGACCUUCGGGCCUCUUGCCAUCGGAUGGGCCCAGAUGGGAUUAGCUAGUUGGUGGGGUAACGGCUCACCAAGGCGACGAUCCCUAGCUGGUCUGAGAGGAUGACCAGCCACACUGGAACUGAGACACGGUCCAGACUCCUACGGGAGGCAGCAGUGGGGAAUAUUGCACAAUGGGCGCAAGCCUGAUGCAGCCAUGCCGCGUGUAUGAAGAAGGCCUUCGGGUUGUAAAGUACUUUCAGCGGGGAGGAAGGGAGUAAAGUUAAUACCUUUGCUCAUUGACGUUACCCGCAGAAGAAGCACCGGCUAACUCCGUGCCAGCAGCAGCCGCGG
Molecule: ribosomal RNA, 507 nt
Filed under: uncultured bacterium
Lineage: Bacteria
Description: partial 16S ribosomal RNA
Rfam family: Bacterial small subunit ribosomal RNA
Source: RNAcentral